Hipposideros armiger (great roundleaf bat) is the source of this 615-nucleotide long non-coding RNA. RefSeq lists it as uncharacterized. NCBI's taxonomy places the organism in Eukaryota, Metazoa, Chordata, Mammalia, Chiroptera, Hipposideridae. The record is from RefSeq and is a predicted model, not a curated record. The transcript has 3 exons.
GGUGACCGCUCGCGCUGUGCUAUACCCUAGCCUGGGAGCAGCGUUACCAGUUGAGAGAGUUAUGUUCGUAUUUCCAACUAUAAUAUAUACUUGUUUAUUUUUCCUUUUACUUCUGACAGUUUUUAUUGAACAUAUUUUAAUGUUUAUGCAAAUUCUAGAUUAUUAUAUCUUCCUUCUGGAUUUGCUCUUUUUACCAUUAUGAAUAGACCAUUUCCAAAAUGACCCUUCUAAAUCCCAGGCUUGAUGUACAGCACUGCACCUGCAAGCUGACAAGCAUCUUACAUCCAUCAUAGGAGAGAACGGAACCAUUCCCAAUCACAACAGUAACCCCCUGGAAGCUGACAUCCAUCGUAGAUGGGAACAGGACAGUUCCCAUGAGAAGGCAAUUGUAACAGCAGCCCCCCUGUAAGCUGACAAGCACCCUAUAUCCUGCAUGGAGAAAUUUAAAACCCCAGCACUCCUUCUCAUCGAUGCAACUGUCCCCUAUCAGACUCUGCCCUGGCAAACUUCUGCCGGUAUCUCUCUCUUACCCCACUGUUUCACAGCUCUCCCUCUCAGUCUGCCCUGGCAAAACUUCUGCCAAUUCCAAACAGAACUCUUUCUCCCUCUGUGUUA